GAUUAACAAAACCAGCAGGGAAUCAGUGACAGUAUUCAUUGGAGAAAGAAAUUGUGUCUAAAUUUUCUAAAGAGUGGAAUUUCCUCUAAGCUGUGAUAGUGUUCCUAUUCUGAAUAUAUAUUCAAUUCUAACAAUGGAAUUUGAUUCGACUUGGAUCUAUAUAUAUAUCAGUAAUGUAAUAAACUGACAAAAUGCUUUCAAGGAUUACAAUCGGAAGAUCUAAUGAGAUAGGACGGCCUUCAGGAAUAUGAAGAGGAUAUAUUCUGGAAUAUGAAAAGGAUAUUUUCUGGAUCCAUUUACAAAUACGAAAGAAAGGAAUUCAGCACAGACCAAGAUUAUGGAAUUUGCAUACAAAGGGAGUUAACACCAUCACAAAAUGUUAAUACAUAUAACAAGGAAAGCAGAGUUGUCUCCCAUGCCAUAUUAUUCAGCUUAUGUUAAAUGGGAUUUCUUGAUGAAAUGAUGGAUGAAAUUUGUGUUUAUCAAAUGUGUUUUAUCAAAAAAGAAUGGAAGAAGAAAAAUACUUACAGGGAAAAAACCAGGAGGCAUUGGCCCCCCUGGUGGCAUUCCAUCCUGUGGGGGCAUUUGUCCUAAAGGACUUUGUGCUGCUGGAUUCUGAAAAGAGAUAAAACAAAAAAUGUAAUAACAUUAAAAGAGGGAUAUAUUAAGGAUAAUAUAUAUUUGAUAAAAGAAAACAACCUGAGGUUGAAAGGAUUAUUACUCCUGAAGGAAAUAAUGUGAUUUCUCUUAUGUUGUAAUCUGAAAAUUAAAAGAAUGCAGCUAUG
This is a long non-coding RNA of Mytilus californianus (California mussel), 785 nucleotides long. RefSeq lists it as uncharacterized. Lineage: Eukaryota; Metazoa; Mollusca; Bivalvia; Mytilida; Mytilidae. The record is from RefSeq and is a predicted model, not a curated record. The transcript is spliced from 3 exons.